GGUUAAGUCCCGCAACGAGCGCAACCCUUAUCCUUGUUUGCCAGCACUUCGUGUGGGAACUCCAGGGAAACUG
This 73-nucleotide ribosomal RNA is filed under the name uncultured bacterium. RNAcentral's name for it is "partial 16S ribosomal RNA". The record is from RNAcentral.